Molecule: ribosomal RNA, 271 nt
Filed under: Casmara agronoma
Lineage: Eukaryota; Metazoa; Arthropoda; Insecta; Lepidoptera; Oecophoridae
Description: partial 28S ribosomal RNA
Rfam family: Eukaryotic large subunit ribosomal RNA
Source: RNAcentral
GGAAAGAGCCCAGCACUGAAUCGCGCGGUCGCCGCGGCCGCGCGAGAUGUGGUGUUCGGGAGGUUCCGCUUUCUCGUCGUCGCGUCUCCUGUCCAAGUUCGUCUUGAACGGGGCCGUUUUCCCGUAGAGGGUGCCAGGCCCGUAGCGACGGAGGGCGGCGGCGAGAGGGACUCUCCUCAGAGUCGGGUCGCUUGAGAGUGCAGCCCUAAGUGGGUGGUAAACUCCAUCUAAGGCUAAAUAUUACCGCGAGACCGAUAGCGAACAAGUACCG